RNAcentral lists this ribosomal RNA (451 nucleotides) under uncultured bacterium. Its description in RNAcentral is "bacterial SSU rRNA". It matches the Rfam family "Bacterial small subunit ribosomal RNA", at positions 354 to 796 of the family's 1533-position model. The record is from RNAcentral.
GUAGGGAAUCUUCCGCAAUGGACGAAAGUCUGACGGAGCAACGCCGCGUGAGUGAUGAAGGCUUUCGGGUCGUAAAACUCUGUUGUUAGGGAAGAACAAGUGCUAGUUGAAUAAGCUGGCACCUUGACGGUACCUAACCAGAAAGCCACGGCUAACUACGUGCCAGCAGCCGCGGUAAUACGUAGGUGGCAAGCGUUAUCCGGAAUUAUUGGGCGUAAAGCGCGCGCAGGUGGUUUCUUAAGUCUGAUGUGAAAGCCCACGGCUCAACCGUGGAGGGUCAUUGGAAACUGGGAGACUUGAGUGCAGAAGAGGAAAGUGGAAUUCCAUGUGUAGCGGUGAAAUGCGUAGAGAUAUGGAGGAACACCAGUGGCGAAGGCGACUUUCUGGUCUGUAACUGACACUGAGGCGCGAAAGCGUGGGGAGCAAACAGGAUUAGAAACCCGGGUAGUCC